This 497-nucleotide ribosomal RNA is filed under the name uncultured bacterium. RNAcentral's name for it is "partial 16S ribosomal RNA". It matches the Rfam family "Bacterial small subunit ribosomal RNA", at positions 28 to 507 of the family's 1533-position model. The record is from RNAcentral.
GAUGAACGCUGGCGGCGUGCCUAAUACAUGCCAGUCGAACGAACGGACGCGGAGCUUGCUUCUCUGACGUUAGCCGCGGACGGGUGAGUCACACGUGUAUACUCUACUUAUAAUUGUGGUAUCAUUUCGGGACACCGGCGCUUAUACCGUAGAAUAUUUUGAACCGCAUGGUUGAAUAGUGAAAGACGGCCUUGCUGGCACGUCUAGAUGGUUCCGCGCUUCAUUAGCUAGUUGUUAAGGUAACGGCCUACCAAGGCAACGAUGCAUAGGCGAGCUGAGAGGGUGAUCGGCCACACGGGAACUGAGACAGGGUCCAGACUCCUACGGGAGGCAGCAGUAGGGAAUCUUCGGCAAUGGGCGAAAGCCUGACGGAGCAGCGGCGCGUGAGUGAUGAAGGUCUUCGGAUCGUAAAACUCUGUUAUUAGGGAAGAACAUAUGUGUAAGUAACUGUGCACAUCGUGACGGUACCUAAUCAGAAAGCCCCGGCUAACUACGUG